This 791-nucleotide ribosomal RNA is filed under the name Streptomyces exfoliatus. RNAcentral's name for it is "bacterial SSU rRNA". It matches the Rfam family "Bacterial small subunit ribosomal RNA", at positions 74 to 879 of the family's 1533-position model. The record is from RNAcentral. Lineage: Bacteria; Bacillati; Actinomycetota; Actinomycetes; Kitasatosporales; Streptomycetaceae.
AGCCCUUCGGGGUGGAUUAGUGGCGAACGGGUGAGUAACACGUGGGCAAUCUGCCCUUCACUCUGGGACAAGCCCUGGAAACGGGGUCUAAUACCGGAUAACACCGGCUUCCGCAUGGGAGCUGGUUAAAAGCUCCGGCGGUGAAGGAUGAGCCCGCGGCCUAUCAGCUUGUUGGUGGGGUAAUGGCCUACCAAGGCGACGACGGGUAGCCGGCCUGAGAGGGCGACCGGCCACACUGGGACUGAGACACGGCCCAGACUCCUACGGGAGGCAGCAGUGGGGAAUAUUGCACAAUGGGCGAAAGCCUGAUGCAGCGACGCCGCGUGAGGGAUGACGGCCUUCGGGUUGUAAACCUCUUUCAGCAGGGAAGAAGCGAAAGUGACGGUACCUGCAGAAGAAGCGCCGGCUAACUACGUGCCAGCAGCCGCGGUAAUACGUAGGGCGCAAGCGUUGUCCGGAAUUAUUGGGCGUAAAGAGCUCGUAGGCGGCUUGUCACGUCGGGUGUGAAAGCCCGGGGCUUAACCCCGGGUCUGCAUCCGAUACGGGCAGGCUAGAGUGUGGUAGGGGAGAUCGGAAUUCCUGGUGUAGCGGUGAAAUGCGCAGAUAUCAGGAGGAACACCGGUGGCGAAGGCGGAUCUCUGGGCCAUUACUGACGCUGAGGAGCGAAAGCGUGGGGAGCGAACAGGAUUAGAUACCCUGGUAGUCCACGCCGUAAACGUUGGGAACUAGGUGUUGGCGACAUUCCACGUCGUCGGUGCCGCAGCUAACGCAUUAAGUUCCCCGCCUGGGGA